AUUGAACGCUGGCGGCAUGCCUUACACAUGCAAGUCGAACGGUAACAGGUCUUUCGGGAUGCUGACGAGUGGCGAACGGGUGAGUAAUACAUCGGAACGUGCCUAGUAGUGGGGGAUAACUACUCGAAAGAGUGGCUAAUACCGCAUGAGAUCUAUGGAUGAAAGCAGGGGACCUUCGGGCCUUGUGCUACUAGAGCGGCCGAUGGCAGAUUAGGUAGUUGGUGGGAUAAAAGCUUACCAAGCCUGCGAUCUGUAGCUGGUCUGAGAGGACGAUCAGCCACACUGGGACUGAGACACGGCCCAGACUCCUACGGGAGGCAGCAGUGGGGAAUUUUGGACAAUGGGGGAAACCCUGAUCCAGCAAUGCCGCGUGCAGGAUGAAGGCCUUCGGGUUGUAAACUGCUUUUGUACGGAACGAAAAGUCUUGGGCUAAUA
Molecule: ribosomal RNA, 435 nt
Filed under: uncultured bacterium
Lineage: Bacteria
Description: bacterial SSU rRNA
Rfam family: Bacterial small subunit ribosomal RNA
Source: RNAcentral